AUGGCAUGGCACAGCCUGGUACAGUACAACAGGGCACAGCUGCCUCCUGCAGCACAGCACGGCUCAGUACAGCACAAUCCAACAGCACAGCACAACUCGGCCCGGCCCGGCCCAGCCCAGGCCAGUCGUGCUCAGUUGACACAAGAGUCAGUACGGCCUACCCAGGCGGGAUGUCCUCGCUGGCCCACACUGCUAACACACAACACAAGCUCGCUGGGGCUCGUUAUCGCCUCUCCCACAUCCCUGCUCCUCUGCAAGCUCUCUCGGGGGCACAGACAUGGGACAGAGGCGUCCUCCUGUGACCCAGCCCCGGCACCCCCAACUACCCAGUGCUGGUCCCCACACACACCCAUGGCGUCACCCCCACACCUUGCCGAGCACAAACCCGUGCCCACCCCUCCCGAGACACCCCACGGGGUCCGUGAGGACACUCAUGUCCGUGAGGACACCGUCCACAGCACAAGUGUCGCUGCCCCCCUACGAACCACCCGCACCCCGCCCCGAUUCCCUGCCACGCCAUCGCGUGGGGUCCGGAAAACAGCACCAGCGCCACAGAGGACCCCGCGCGUUGGGGUCCCGUCCCCCCGCGUCCCUCCCCGCGGGACCGCGCUCCGUUCCCCCUCCUCCCGCCGCCGGACCCCAACCCGACGUGCCCCCACCCACUCCGGUGACAGGAGCGGCGUGUCGCAGCGCGUCCCCGCUGUUUCGCGACCGGCCGCCCACCCCCCAGUCACCGUCGGUCUCCGGGACGCUCGGGAGAGCGCUGGGAGAGCCCCUCGCCGCCUGUGGCACCGGAGGGCGCAGGGUCAGGGGGGUGGGGGGACGAAGCGGGCGGAGGGGAGUCGAGAGAACGAGGGGGACCGCCGGGGGCCGCGGCGGGGCUCGGGAACGGCGGGGGUCGCGAAGCGGGGCGGGCCGCCCUACCUGCUGCGCGCUGCUCCGCCGGGCUGCGGCCGCCGCCGGACGGGACGGGCCGGGACGGGUCGGACGGGGCGGGGGCAGCCACCGCCCACCGCGCCCCCCCGCGGCGGCUCCGCGCCCUGCACCCGGGGCGGCCGGUACCGGCGGCGGGGCGCGCUGUCCCUCCCGCCUGUUGCUCCCGGGGCCGGACCCCGCUGCCCUCGCCCGUCCCCCCGGGAUUUCCCUCCCGCCACCUCUGACGUCACUCAGGGACCCCCUUCCUCACCAAUGACGUCAGCGGGGGGACACCCCUCGCGGCGGCGGGGGAGGAAUCCCCUCCUCUCGGGAGGUGACGCGAGCGCGGGGCCGAGCGUUGCCCCCCCCGCUCCCUCCCGGUGCCGCGGCGGCGGCGGGGCCGGCAGGGGGCGCGGCGGGCGCGUGACGCCGGUUGGCGGCAUGGCCGCGGGGCCCGGCGGGGCGGCGGCGGCGGCGGCAGCGGCCGGGGCGCGCGGGCUCGGGGCCGCCUGCCUGCGCCUCCUCCGCCGCGCCCGCCGCGCCGCCGCCGCGCUCAUGGCCUUCGCCGCCCCGCUGCUGUUCCGCCUGGGGUGA
Molecule: long non-coding RNA, 1509 nt
Filed under: Junco hyemalis (dark-eyed junco)
Lineage: Eukaryota; Metazoa; Chordata; Aves; Passeriformes; Passerellidae
Description: lncRNA (ENSJHYG00000012450.1)
Source: RNAcentral